RNAcentral lists this long non-coding RNA (308 nucleotides) under Rosa chinensis. RNAcentral's name for it is "sRNA RchiOBHm_Chr1g0326101". Lineage: Eukaryota; Viridiplantae; Streptophyta; Magnoliopsida; Rosales; Rosaceae. The record is from RNAcentral.
CGAGCAGUCGCGUCGCUGCUUUAAGGAACCUACGCGGAGGCUGGAGGCGAUGCAUGUCGACGGUGAGGCUCCAGUUUUGGUGCGGCGUCGACUGGUGGAGGCGAUGUGGUGAGGUGGUGGCCGGAGCUGGAGUCUCCGGUGAUGGCAGAGAGCGAAGAUGAGAAAGAGAGGUCGGGCUUGGGUCGAAUUUGGGUGCUGGAUCGAUUGGUGGUGGUGGUUUUGUGAGAUGGACGCCGGAAACUGUGUUUUCUGCAAUGGCAGAGAGGGAGGACGAGAGAGUGAGAGGUCGGGGAGAGGGUGGACGCGGC